UCUGGGGUAGCUCAAUGGUAGAGCAGUGGACUGUUAAUCCAUUGGUUGUGGGUUCGAAUCCCACCCCCAGAG
This 72-nucleotide transfer RNA is filed under the name Candidatus Buchananbacteria bacterium. Its description in RNAcentral is "tRNA-Asn". It matches the Rfam family "tRNA". From Rfam's summary of the family: Transfer RNA (tRNA) molecules are approximately 80 nucleotides in length. Their secondary structure includes four short double-helical elements and three loops (D, anti-codon, and T loops). The record is from RNAcentral. Lineage: Bacteria; Candidatus Buchananiibacteriota.